Long non-coding RNA from Pteropus alecto (black flying fox), 894 nucleotides. RefSeq lists it as uncharacterized. The record is from RefSeq and is a predicted model, not a curated record. The transcript has 4 exons. NCBI's taxonomy places the organism in Eukaryota, Metazoa, Chordata, Mammalia, Chiroptera, Pteropodidae.
AGAUUCUCAUAGGAUCACCAGUCCCUGGUGCCAAAAAGGUUGGUGACCGCUGCUACACCACUGUCUACAUCAUAUACCUCAGCCAGGUUGUCUGGUCUGGAAUUCCGCAUCCUGCGUCCCUGGCCUGAGAAAGAAGGUGUAGGGCAGGGCAGAGAAACCAAAUGCAGCAUGAGAGGCUCUUCUGCACAGAGUCGCACCAUCCUAGGCUGCAGUGUGGAAAAUUUCUCAUGUGCUGUAUGGCAGACUACAGACUGCGAAUGGCUUCCAGAACAAUCAAACCAAACGGGAUACAAAAUGGAAUGUACACUAUGAUUACAACUCUGCUAAAAUAUAUCUGCCAAUGGACCAACACUGGAAAUGAAUAAGCAAAAAUAACAGCUGUGUGAUAUGGUGAUGAGAAAGCUGAGUUUUAAAGGGGGAAAUUCACUUUGCCUGAGGUCAUCCAGCCAAUUAAGAAUAAAGUUGGAAUUCAAAGCCAGAGUCGGUCUGACCCUAAGGAUUCAUGCUCUUAACACCACUUUAUCCUAUCUGUACAUAAUUCAAAGGCUGCUGGGAGGUGCAAGUCACCUAGGUUUUGGCUCAUCUGGUCAAGAUCAGUUGAACCUGGCUCCAGGCCAUGAGUGGAGUUCAAGUCUGCUUCACGUCUCUCAUUCCUCAGUGACUGGUAGGCUGCCCAAGGCAUAGUCUUCACAUGGCAAAAGUGGAAGCCCAGGAGAGCAGACCUAAUGCCGAAAUGUGUAAAGUCUCUGUGCACAUUACAACUACUAACAUUUCGUUGGCCAAAUAAAGCCACAUGGUCAAGAAAGUUGAUUGUAUAACUUGAUCAUAACUAUGUAAAAAUAGUUUUGUGAAUCAACAAAGAAUAGAAAUAAAUAAGCAAAAUGAAAAAAGAAA